Molecule: ribosomal RNA, 447 nt
Filed under: uncultured bacterium
Lineage: Bacteria
Description: bacterial SSU rRNA
Rfam family: Bacterial small subunit ribosomal RNA
Source: RNAcentral
UCGGGAAUUUUGGGCAAUGGGCGAAAGCCUGACCCAGCAACGCCGCGUGAAGGAUGAAGUAUUUCGGUAUGUAAACUUCGAAAGAAUAGGAAGAAUAAAUGACGGUACUAUUUAUAAGGUCCGGCUAACUACGUGCCAGCAGCCGCGGUAAUACGUAGGGACCAAGCGUUGUUCGGAUUUACUGGGCGUAAAGGGCGCGUAGGCGGCAAUUCAAGUCAUCUGUGAAAUCUCCGGGCUUAACUCGGAACGGUCAGAUGAUACUGUUUUGCUAGAGUGCAGAAGGGGCAAUCGGAAUUCUUGGUGUAGCGGUGAAAUGCGUAGAUAUCAAGAGGAACACCUGAGGUGAAGACGGGUUGCUGGGCUGACACUGACGCUGAGGCGCGAAAGCCAGGGGAGCAAACGGGAUUAGAUACCCUGGUAGUCCCUGAGCGGGCUGGCAAGGCGCAU